UGCAGAAGUGGCAGACUCUUAAGCCAUGUGUCAAAUGAAUAUAGAAAAAAGAGGAACAUAGAGAGAAAGAAUGGGAGAGAAGAAAGAAAGAAAAUGGAAGAAAGAUAGAAGGAGAGAGUCAGAAAGUGAGGGGGGAAAGAAAGACAUAUCUAUAUUGCAGGUGGGACUGCAAUCCAGGUCUAGGUCAGCUCCAUCUAUCAAACUGCUGGUGAUGAGGCCAAAGCCAUGGAAAUACUAUGGGACCCUGUUACAUCUAUUUGUUUCACAAUGGAAAAUUGUAUCCUAAAGUCUAGUCCAUCAAAAAGAUGCAUGGUCUUGUUACCCUACAUAGACUUAACUCUUUGUGAUAAAAACUUGUGGUUGUUGCUGUACAUUCAUUUUCCAAGAGGACCAGUGCUAUCAUGAAUUAAUGUCUUAAUUUGUAUGUGAAUUAAGUGAGGUAGAAUUAUACACAAAUGUCAACCUUACUCUGUCUUCUGAAGUCAUAGAAGUAUAGUAGCAAGAGAAAAGUCAGGAUGAGUAGUAAUGGCUCAGGAUGCAGUGGAUGACCAUGGCAUCUUCAACUCCUGAAGUGCUUGCUUCAGCUGCUUUCAUGGCUAAUGGAACAAAAUGGUCUCAUAUACCACCCAUUCUGCAGUUUUCACUGAUUCUCAUCAUUUUCCCUAAUUUCUCUACCACAGAUAUUGAGCAACAAGAUAGUCUUCCUGAGAAGAAAGAAGACUCAAAGGAGGAAGAAAGUAUUAGAGGGAGAGAGAGAGAGAAAGAGAGAGAAGGAAAGAAGUUUAAAUACCCACUCUGGCUCAGGCUGAGCCAAAGCAGGCAUUAAGGCCCUGGAUAGCCAAUGCAAGGAAAGGGAUCAGUCCUUAUCACUCAUGUGACCAAUCUAAAGGAAAACAGUCAGCGGUGCUCCUCCAACCCCAAGCACCAGCCUCCAACUGACUCUCCCCUCCUCACAGGAAGUCCCG
Molecule: long non-coding RNA, 965 nt
Filed under: Monodelphis domestica (gray short-tailed opossum)
Lineage: Eukaryota; Metazoa; Chordata; Mammalia; Didelphimorphia; Didelphidae
Description: lncRNA (ENSMODG00000044410.1)
Source: RNAcentral